This 58-nucleotide transfer RNA is filed under the name Candidatus Solibacter sp. Its description in RNAcentral is "tRNA-Met". It matches the Rfam family "tRNA", at positions 8 to 62 of the family's 71-position model. From Rfam's summary of the family: Transfer RNA (tRNA) molecules are approximately 80 nucleotides in length. Their secondary structure includes four short double-helical elements and three loops (D, anti-codon, and T loops). Further hydrogen bonds mediate the characteristic L-shaped molecular structure. tRNAs have two regions of fundamental functional importance: the anti-codon, which is responsible for specific mRNA codon recognition, and the 3' end, to which the tRNAs corresponding amino acid is attached (by aminoacyl-tRNA synthetases). tRNAs cope with the degeneracy of the genetic code in two manners: having more than one tRNA (with a specific anti-codon) for a particular amino acid; and 'wobble' base-pairing, i.e. permitting non-standard base-pairing at the 3rd anti-codon position. Lineage: Bacteria; Pseudomonadati; Acidobacteriota; Terriglobia; Bryobacterales; Solibacteraceae. The record is from RNAcentral.
UAGCUCAGCUGGUUAGAGCGUGGGUCUCAUAAUCCCAAGGUCGCUGGUUCGAAUCCAG